Molecule: transfer RNA, 72 nt
Filed under: Caerostris extrusa
Lineage: Eukaryota; Metazoa; Arthropoda; Arachnida; Araneae; Araneidae
Description: tRNA-Arg
Rfam family: tRNA
About the family: Transfer RNA (tRNA) molecules are approximately 80 nucleotides in length. Their secondary structure includes four short double-helical elements and three loops (D, anti-codon, and T loops).
Source: RNAcentral
GCCCUCGUGGCCUAAUGGAUAAGGCAUCGGUCUCCUAAACCGGGGAUUGCGGGUUGAAUCCCGCCGAGGGUA